This 377-nucleotide unclassified non-coding RNA is filed under the name uncultured bacterium. Its description in RNAcentral is "contains 16S-23S intergenic spacer region". The record is from RNAcentral.
UCACGUCUUACGACGGCAGUUUCACUAGAGUUCCCAGCGUUACCUGAUGGCAACUAGUGAUGGGGGUUGCGCUCGUUGCGGGACUUAACCCAACAUCUCACGACACGAGCUGACGACAACCAUGCACCACCUGUCACUCUGUCCCCCGAAGGGGAACGUCCUAUCUCUAGGAUUGUCAGAGGAUGUCAAGCCUUGGUAAGGUUCUUCGCGUCGCGUCGAAUUAAACCACACGCUCCGCUGCUUGUGCGGGCCCCCGUCAAUUCCUUUGAGUUUUAGCCUUGCGGCCGUACUCCCCAGGCGGGACACUUAACGCGUUAGCUCCGGCACGGCCCCGUAAAGGGCCACACCAAGUGCUCAUCGUUUAGGGCUAGGACUAC